UCCUACGGGAGGCAGCAGUGGGGAAUAUUGCACAAUGGGCGCAAGCCUGAUGCAGCCAUGCCGCGUGUAUGAAGAAGGCCUUCGGGUUGUAAAGUACUUUCAGUCGGGAGGAAGGUGUUAAGGUUAAUAACCUUGGCAAUUGACGUUACCGACAGA
This 156-nucleotide ribosomal RNA is filed under the name uncultured Enterobacteriaceae bacterium. RNAcentral describes it as "partial 16S ribosomal RNA". It matches the Rfam family "Bacterial small subunit ribosomal RNA", at positions 337 to 485 of the family's 1533-position model. Lineage: Bacteria; Pseudomonadati; Pseudomonadota; Gammaproteobacteria; Enterobacterales; Enterobacteriaceae. The record is from RNAcentral.